This 998-nucleotide small RNA is filed under the name Pan troglodytes (chimpanzee). RNAcentral's name for it is "processed transcript". The record is from RNAcentral. Lineage: Eukaryota; Metazoa; Chordata; Mammalia; Primates; Hominidae.
GGGAACUGGGAUCUCAACCCCAGGGCUAGGUGCCUCCUCCCGUUGCUUUCCGCCAGCUGCGGGGUGUGAAAUUAAUCCCCGCCGAUUAGCGCCAGGUGUACUAAGCGCUGGAUGGUUCCCUGACCAGAUGAAACAUCAGCCGAUGUUCUAAUGCCCGUGCCCUGGGCGCUGUCCCCGAGGGGGAAAACCUGUUUUCUGACCCCGGCUCUAGUCGGCCUCUGGAGGUCUGCAGCUGGGUUAUUUUACCUCUGAAACGGACGACACCUGCCCCGCACACCCCAGCGGCUCCUCCACACGGAGAGAUGGUGUCAGUCAAAGGCCGUCUAGAUGACGAGUUUAUGAAAUUGUUCCUGGCCCGUGCCGGGCACGACCUUGCAGAGAGCCCAGAAGAUGAAACCCCAGCCCUGCCAGGAGCUCACCUGCUAAUUAGGAGGACAACGAAUCACCUCACCUCCCUAGACUUUGCUUCUCCUUUAUUCAGUGAGGGAUUGGACUAGCUGGUCCUUAAGGACUUUUCAGAAAGUCUGGUUCUGGGAGAUGACCAAUGGGAUCAUCUUAUGCUAUAAGCUUUCCUGGAAUGACAGGUAAUGGAGAGUGAGGAGAUUUUACCUGAUAUGGUCCUGUUUGCACCAUCAGCCAGCAACCUUUCUGGGAAGCAUGCUUAUUAUGUACCAACAUAGAAGCUUGAAUAUAAGGUCUGCCCACAUCAGUGCCCACCAGGAAAACUGCUGCUGUGUUAUCAAGAAUUUAAAGAAACACUCCAGCCUGCUUUGCAGAAAUUAUUUCGCUCUACUUAGAAAAUCUGACCAACUUAAGAUCUAACAAGUACAGAAGGAGGAAAAGGUCAAUGUUUGGAGUGAAUUCUGGACUAACUGGGUGGAUAUAGCCUUAUCCUGAAUCACUUUAGAAGAUUGCUAUCGACAUCAUUCCAAAAAGGUUCAUUGCAGCAUCCAAUUCCAGGUCUCUGGCGAUAAGAGCUAUUUUCUUGCCCUUGUAUG